RNAcentral lists this ribosomal RNA (574 nucleotides) under uncultured bacterium. RNAcentral describes it as "bacterial SSU rRNA". It matches the Rfam family "Bacterial small subunit ribosomal RNA", at positions 10 to 563 of the family's 1533-position model. The record is from RNAcentral.
AGUUUGAUCCUGGCUCAGAAUCAACGCUGGCGGCGUGCCUCAGACAUGCAAGUCGAACGAGAAAGUCCCCUUCGGGGGAUAAGUAAAGUGGCGCACGGGUGAGUAACACGUAGGUAAUCUACCUUCGGGUGGGGAAUAACCCAGGGAAACUUGGGCUAACACCGCAUAAUGCAGCGGCACCACAUGGUGACAGUUGUUAAAGCGGGGGAUUUUCGAACCUCGCGCCUGAAGAGGAGCCUGCGGCGGAUUAGCUAGUUGGUAAGGUAACGGCUUACCAAGGUAACGAUCCGUAGCCGGCCUGAGAGGGCGGUCGGCCACACUGACACUGACAUACGGGUCAGACUCCUACGGGAGGCAGCAGUCGGGAAUUUUGGGCAAUGGGCGAAAGCCUGACCCAGCAACGCCGCGUGAAGGAUGAAAUCCCUCGGGAUGUAAACUUCGCAAGAAUGGGAAGAAUUAGUAGGGGUUAAUACCCCCUAUGAUGACGGUACCAUUUGUAAGCUCCGGCUAACUCCGUGCCAGCAGCCGCGGUAAUACGGGGGGAGCAAGCGUUGUUCGGAUUUACUGGGCGUAA